AUGCCCCUGCGAGUCAAUAACACAUACCUUGAAACUUUCAGAAACGUAAUCAUGCAUGCGGUGGAUACGUAAAUGAGUUUACGCAGGAUUAUAUAUUGACUUGUUGUAGCUCCACGUGUUAACGACCAAUUCCUGAUAUCAAGGCUGUAUAAGAGGGUAACCACUGUCUGUCAGCUAUGGCUGAAGAAAUGGUGCAGAAGCUGCUGGAUGGUCAAGCACUAGAUACAGAAGAGUUUUGUGAUUUUUCCCUUGAAGACCAAAAUGAAGCAACAGCCGCAAAGGGCGUCGCUCCAUCAUCACCUUCCUCAUUUACCCCUGAAUUAAAGAAGAACAUCUGCUAUGUCGUAGCUGCGGCCAUUGUCAACGAUAAGGGAGAGGUGCUGAUGAUUCAGGAAGCCAAAAGCUCGUGCGCCGGCCAGUGGUACCUGCCGGCCGGCCGGAUGGAGGCCGGAGAGACGAUCGCCGAGGCGGCGCGUCGCGAGGUGCUCGAGGAGACGGGUCUGGAGCUGGAGCCGACCACCCUGCUGAUGGUGGAGACGGCCGGCGGCGCCUGGUACCGCUUCGUUGUCACCGGCACCGUCACAGGCGGUCGGCUGAAGACGCCGGCCGACGCCGACCCGGAGUCGCUGCAGGCCCAGUGGGUGGCCGACCUGAGCGCCUACGAACUGCGCGCCAGGGACAUCGAGCCGCUGGUGGAGCUGGCGCGCGCGUACCAUGCGCGCGGCGCGGCCGCCUGGCACCCGGAGCGGCUGCCGGCGGCGCGAGCCCACCGCCGCCUACUGCUCCGACUGGUCGUCUGCGUCCGAAAACGCGCCAAUAACCGGGUCAGUGUCCUGAUGUCGGAGAAGACGUCUCUACACCUGCCCACAUGCGAAAUAUCGCCGCCCCGUAGCAUCCACUCAACGCUCAAAAAGUAUAUGACGGAGAUGUUUGGCGCCGACCUGCCGCCGCACCGGCCGGCCGGCGUGCUCUCGGUCGAGUACAGCCACCAGCCCGACCAGCCGGCCGGCCUCUGCCUCACGCUGCUCGUGCCCGUCCGAAAACCGCUGGAGGAGGUGCACCUGAUCGACAAGUACCAGUGGUGCGAGCUGAACCGCGAGCUGGGUCACGCGCUGCUCGACCGGCUCGGCAAAAAUCAGCUGGUGUCGCUGAACGUCAUCAGGUAAGGCGCGGCGGCCGGACGGCGGCGGCGGCGGCCGACCACCCGCACUGCCGGCCGGUGUCGGGCACCUGCACAGCGAACACACCGACUGGCACGUGACCGCCGCCGCUUCAACGGAGACUGCCGGACGCCGAGGAACGAGAGGUGCAUGCUGCUGUGGUGGUUGUCUUCCAGCCUGGAGCACAGAGCACCGCUGCCGGCCCGGGGUCGGAGGUGGCGACGCCCCCGGCCCCGCGGCCUCUCGCCGGGCGCCCGCCGGUGGCUCAGGCCAGCCACCGAUCGGCGGGCAGUGCAACAGAUUGGUGGUAGCUCUGGCAAACACGGGCCGACGCAAUUAUAUUCCCAGGUGUACAACGACUUGCGAGCUUGCUUUGGCUUUAUUUACGAAGGGACGAGGUUUGAGACUGAAGUAGGGAAUUUAAGGAUAUUCCGACCUGGGAUAGUUAAAUUAUUUGUUUUAGCAAAUGAAAUAGAACAGAUUGAAGCCGUAUAUUUUAAAAAUGUCAACGUUGCCAGUAACGUUAAUCGUUUACGUGUUUGUGAACCGUGACCAAUUUGUGCGUUCCCUGCGGGCCAAAUGGCAUGACUGAUGAAAACUGGCUUUAGGUGGUAGCUACUAUGCACUCUUCUUUCAUCAGACAUAAGAAAAGAUAUAUCCGUGUGUUACAGUUACCACAUACAUAUAUCUAUUUGGUGGAUGAUUAUCUGCACUGCUGCUGGAUUCAGCUCGCUUCGUCGUUGUAUAUUCGUUAGCCGACGGGUUUCAGUGGUAGCCGACCCAGUCUGUCUGCCUUACAUGCCAGUAGGUUUUAGUGUCGGGAUCGUCUGCCUGCUCAGUCGCUAUGCACUCCGAUGGGGUUUCAUGCCCCCCAAGUGGCGGCCUGCACAGUGCCCACUUGUGUUGUUUCCUGCCAGUAGAGUACUGUGUCGUCGGCAGACUGUCCCGUCCGUGUAUAUUUGUUUGUCUGACGGCGAUGUUAGUUUCCGGACUGAGACUGUCUGUUCGGUCCCUAUUCGCACCAUGUCUGCUGAUGGGUUUCAGCGCCAGGGCCAGCGAAUCGGUGGCGUGAUGCUGGAUCGGUCUCCAGCUCCGCGGUCGCCGUUCGUUCGUGGCCCGUAUGGGAUUCUGCCGCCGCUGCUCUCAGUGUACUCUCAGCACCGCUCACCAGCGGUGACGGCUGUACUGUCCGUCUCUGCCGCCCGCGAGUGUCCUGCUAUCCCUGCGGUAAUGUUGUUACGUUUCCGUCCAUCUGCUGUGCUGCGCCCUUCGGCCCGUAUGUAUAUGAUUGUAAAGUGUAUGCUGUAUAUUUCUGUGUGUGCGGGCCCGUGCCUUCUGCGGCGCGCGCUGGACGCUGGCCCGUCGCGUGGCGCCCGCGGUCGGGUCCCGCGCCGCCAGACGGCCCGUCGCCGCUCGCUCUUUGGUGGUAGGUGUCGCUACUAAUUGGACGGUGUGCCGGCGGCCGGCCGUUUUCGCCUCGCUCAAGUCGCUAAUAUAUUUUUACUUUCUA
Molecule: unclassified non-coding RNA, 2670 nt
Filed under: Amphibalanus amphitrite
Lineage: Eukaryota; Metazoa; Arthropoda; Thecostraca; Balanomorpha; Balanidae
Description: 8-oxo-dGDP phosphatase NUDT18-like, transcript variant X2
Source: RNAcentral